UGGCUCAGAACGAACGCUGGCGGCAUGCCUAACACAUGCAAGUCGAACGAAGCCUUCGGGCUUAGUGGCGCACGGGUGCGUAACGCGUGGGAACCUGCCUUUAGGUUCGGAAUAACUCAGAGAAAUUUGAGCUAAUACCGGAUAAUGUCUUCGGACCAAAGAUUUAUCGCCUUUAGAUGGGCCCGCGUUAGAUUAGAUAGUUGGUGGGGUAAUGGCCUACCAAGUCGACGAUCUAUAGCUGGUCUGAGAGGAUGAUCAGCCACACUGGGACUGAGACACGGCCCAGACUCCUACGGGAGGCAGCAGUGGGGAAUAUUGGACAAUGGGCGAAAGCCUGAUCCAGCAAUGCCGCGUGAGUGAUGAAGGCCUUAGGGUUGUAAAGCUCUUUUACCAGGGAUGAUAAUGACAGUACCUGGAGAAUAAGCUCCGGCUAACUCCGUGCCAGCAGCCGCGGUAAUACGGAGGGAGCUAGCGUUGUUCGGAAUUACUGGGCGUAAAGCGCGCGUAGGCGGCUUUUUAAGUCAGGGGUGAAAUCCCGGGGCUCAACCCCGGAACUGCCCUUGAAACUGGAUGGCUAGAAUACUGGAGAGGUGAGUGGAAUUCCGAGUGUAGAGGUGAAAUUCGUAGAUAUUCGGAAGAACACCAGUGGCGAAGGCGACUCACUGGACAGUUAUGACG
RNAcentral lists this ribosomal RNA (678 nucleotides) under Erythrobacter sp. Pbc-abPcs2a. RNAcentral's name for it is "bacterial SSU rRNA". It matches the Rfam family "Bacterial small subunit ribosomal RNA", at positions 20 to 745 of the family's 1533-position model. The record is from RNAcentral. Lineage: Bacteria; Pseudomonadati; Pseudomonadota; Alphaproteobacteria; Sphingomonadales; Erythrobacteraceae.